CAGCAGUAAAAGAUGCCGACAUGCUUGGUGGCAACACCGGGCAGGGAGAAAUCUUAGAGUUCGGGCUCUGGGGAUAGUAUGCUCGCAAGGGUGAAAAUUAAAGAAAUUGACGGAGCUACACCACAAG
Molecule: ribosomal RNA, 127 nt
Filed under: Endoreticulatus sp. PL02
Lineage: Eukaryota; Fungi; Microsporidia
Description: partial small subunit ribosomal RNA
Rfam family: Microsporidia small subunit ribosomal RNA
Source: RNAcentral